AUUGAACGCUGGCGGCAGGCCUAACACAUGCAAGUCGAGCGGAUGAAGGGAGCUUGCUCCUGGAUUCAGCGGCGGACGGGUGAGUAAUGCCUAGGAAUCUGCCUGGUAGUGGGGGAUAACGUCCGGAAACGGGCGCUAAUACCGCAUACGUCCUGAGGGAGAAAGUGGGGGAUCUUCGGACCUCGCGCUAUCAGAUGAGCCUAGGUCGGAUUAGCUAGUUGGUGGGGUAAAGGCCUACCAAGGCGACGAUCCGUAACUGGUCUGAGAGGAUGAUCAGUCACACUGGAACUGAGACACGGUCCAGACUCCUACGGGAGGCAGCAGUGGGGAAUAUUGGACAAUGGGCGAAAGCCUGAUCCAGCCAUGCCGCGUGUGUGAAGAAGGUCUUCGGAUUGUAAAGCACUUUAAGUUGGGAGGAAGGGCAGUAAGUGAAUACCUUGCUGUUUUGACGGUACCAACAGAAUAAGCACCGGCUAACUUCGUG
This 484-nucleotide ribosomal RNA is filed under the name uncultured bacterium. RNAcentral describes it as "partial 16S ribosomal RNA". It matches the Rfam family "Bacterial small subunit ribosomal RNA", at positions 30 to 507 of the family's 1533-position model. The record is from RNAcentral.